Molecule: ribosomal RNA, 254 nt
Filed under: uncultured bacterium
Lineage: Bacteria
Description: partial 16S ribosomal RNA
Rfam family: Bacterial small subunit ribosomal RNA
Source: RNAcentral
UACGGAGGGGGCGAGCGUUGCGCGGAAUCACUGGGCGUAAAGCGUACGCAGGCGGCUCGCUAAGUCGGGUGUGAAAGCCCGGGGCUCAACCCCGGAAAUGCGCCCGAUACUGGCGAGCUUGAGUACGGGAGAGGGAUAGCGGAAUUCCUGGUGUAGAGGUGAAAUUCGUAGAUAUCAGGAGGAACACCAGUGGCGAAAGCGGCUUCCUGGCCCGAUACUGACGCUCAUGUACGAAAGCGUGGGGAGCAAACAGG